GUCGAACGAGGAAAGUAGCAAUAUGAGUACUAGUGGCGCACGGGUGAGGAAUACAUGGGUAAUCUGCCCUCAAGUUUGGGAUAACCAGUCGAAAGAUUGGCUAAUACCGGAUAUGACCACAGGAUCUGCGGAUCUAGGGGUAAAAGUUUUUCGCUUGAGGAUGAGCCCAUGUGGGAUUAGCUAGUUGGUGAGGUAACGGCUCACCAAGGCUACGAUCCCUAACUGGUCUUAGAGGAUGAUCAGUCACACUGGAACUGAGACACGGUCCAGACUCCUACGGGAGGCAGCAGUAGGGAAUAUUGCACAAUGGGGGAAACCCUGAUGCAGCGACGCCGCGUGAGUGAUGAAGGCCUUCGGGUCGUAAAGCUCUGUCGUAUGGGAAUAACAUAAUGAAUGUACCAUGCAAGAAAGGAUCGGCUAACUUCGUGCCAGCAGCCGCGGUAAGACGAGGGAUCCUAGCGUUGUUCGGAAUUAUUGGGCGUAAAGCGGGUGUAGGCGGACUUAUAAGUCAGGUGUGAAAUCCCAGGGCUCAACCCUGGAAGUGCACUUGAUACUGCAAGUCUUGAGUGUGGUAGAGGCUAUUAGAAUUCUUGGUGUAGUGGUGAAAUACGUAGAUAUCAAGAGGAAUACCGGAGGCGAAGGCGGAUAGCUGGGCCAACACUGACGCUGAGACCCGAAAGCGUGGGGAUCAAACAGGAUU
Molecule: ribosomal RNA, 700 nt
Filed under: uncultured bacterium
Lineage: Bacteria
Description: bacterial SSU rRNA
Rfam family: Bacterial small subunit ribosomal RNA
Source: RNAcentral